AUGAUACCUCAGCCUGAUGAAAGCGUAACUAACUUCACUCGGCAUCGCAUCUGGGAAGUUUUUUCACCUGGGCAAAUGAUGGAGGGUGAUGUAAUGGACUUCCUCAUUGAUGAUUGGAAGCAAGAUCCCGAGAGAAAUGCUGAUUUCGCAUCUGGGAAAAGGAUAUUGCUGAGUCCAUAUUUCAUCAUGGUUGUGCUUAACUGUUCGUUUUACGAGGAUGAAAUUAAAGUGUUUAAUGUGGAGAGUGCAGCGAGAAAUUUCAAGAGCUAUGCUAAAGCUAAUGAAGACUUGCUCAGUGCCGACCUUAUCAUGAUGCCUCUAUUCAAGCCUAUGGUUUUAUCAAAGGAUAGGAAAGUGAACCACUAUUCCUUAUAUGUCAUGAAUCGGUACCGAAGUAGCGUUGACAUCCUUGACUCUUUACCUUAUCCGAAGAACCACCGUCCUUCAAAGAACACCUAUCACAAAGACUGCGAGAAGAUUUACAAUGCGAGCAAGCAGCCCAAUUGGGAGCUAUUUGCAAAGAAACCAAGGUUUGUCAAGGUUCCACUUCAAGGUGAAAAUGAAUGUGGCCAUUAUACUCUGAAGUAUGCGGGAUGCUAUGAUGGUGAAAAGAUCAUUGAGAACAUUCGAGAUAAUGACCCACGCAUUGUUGAUUGGAAUACUGAGGAUCUGUAUAAAGUUGUGUUCAACCGAAAUAACCAUCUUAUGGUGACGGAGCUUCCCAAGGAGGUUCAGGCUUUGGCUCCUGAUGCAUAG
This 756-nucleotide ribosomal RNA is filed under the name Triticum aestivum (bread wheat). RNAcentral describes it as "partial small subunit ribosomal RNA". The record is from RNAcentral. Lineage: Eukaryota; Viridiplantae; Streptophyta; Magnoliopsida; Poales; Poaceae.